GCAGGUUGAAGCGCGGGUAAGACCGCGUGGAGGACCGAACCCACCUGGGUUGAAAACCGGGGGGAUGACCUGGGGCUAGGGGUGAAAGGCCAAUCAAAUUCCGUGAUAGCUGGUUCUCUCCGAAAUGCAUUUAGGUGCAGCGUCGGUCGAUUGCGUCGCGGGGGUAGAGCUACCGGAUGCUUGCGGGCCCUUGUUGGGUACCAACAGCAGCCAAACUCCGAAUACCGUUGACGUGUAUUCCGGCAGUGAGUCGGCGGGGGAUAAGCUCCGUCGUCGAGAGGGAGACAGCCCAGACCGUCGUCUAAGGUCCCGAAGCGUGUGCUAAGUGGGAAAGGAUGUGGAGUCGCAUAGACAGCCAGGAGGUUGGCUCAGAAGCAGCCAUCCUUGAAAGAGUGCGUAACAGCUCACUGGUCUAGUGGUUCCGCGCCGACAAUGUAGCGGGGCUCAAGCACACCACCGAAGACGCGGCAGCAAUCUUCAUGGUUGCUGGGUAGGAGAGCGUCCUGCGAGGGGCGAAGCGGCCGGGUAACCGUGCCGUGGACUUCGUGGGAGUGAGAAUGCAGACAUGAGUAGCGAGAGACGGGUGAGGAUCCCGUCCGCUGGAUGACCAAGGGUUCCGGGGCCACGUUCGUCGUCCCCGGGUGAGUCGGGUCCUAAGGCGAGGCCGACAGGCGUAGUCGAAUGGAUGAACGGGUGGAUAUUCCCGUACCGACCAUGGACCGGCAAAACCGAGACGGUGAGUACUAACCUCCGCCUCGUGGUGGUUCCUUCCUUCGGGUUGGUGUCGCCGCGUGGUGUUGGGACUGUAGCCGUAGUAGGUCAGCGCAGGGGUGACACGGAAUGGGAGCCGGCCGCGGAGGUGGUUUUCCGUGGUCAAGCACGCAGCCAGUCAUGUAGGCAAAUCCGCAUGGCGCGCAUGGCGAGGUGUGAUGAUGGGAGCCUUUUGGCUCGAUAUCCGGUUGUCCAGGCCGUCGAGAAAAGCCUCGGCGUGAGGGCCAUGGCCGCCCGUACCCCAAACCGACACUGGUGGUCAGGUAGAGAAUACCAAGGCGAUCGAGCGAAUCCUGGUCAAGGAACUCGGCAAAUCACUCCCGUGCCUUCGGUAUAAGGGAGACCCCCGGGCGUGAAGAGGCUUGCCCUCGGAGCGUUGGGGGGUGGCACAGACCAGGGGGUAGCGACUGUUUACCAAAAACACAGGUGCAUGCGAAGGCGCAAGCCGCUGUAUAUGCACUGACGCCUGCCCGGUGCCGGAAGGUUAAGAGGAUCCGUCAGCCCCUUUUGGGGUGAAGCGGUGAAUUCAAGCCCCGGUAAACGGCGGUGGUAACUAUAACCAUCCUAAGGUAGCGAAAUUCCUUGUCGGGUAAGUUCCGACCUGCACGAAUGGCGUAACGACUUCCCCACUGUCUCGACCAGGAGCUCGGCGAAAUUGCAGUACGAGUAAAGAUGCUCGUUAAGCGCAGAAGGACGAAAAGACCCCGGGACCUUUACUAUACCUUGGUAUUGGCGUUAGGCGCGGAUUGUGUAGCAUAGGCGGGAGGCUUCGAAGCAUGGGCGCCAGCCCGUGUGGAGCCGCAAGGUGAAAUACCGCUCUGUUCUCGUUUGACGUCUAACCUCGAACAGUCAUCCUGUUCAGGGACAGUGCCUGGCGGGUAGUUUAACUGGGGCGGUUGCCUCCCAAAGAGUAACGGAGGCGCUCAAAGGUCCGCUCAGCCCGGUUGGCAAUCGGGUGUCGAGUGUAAUCGCACAAGCGGGCUUGACUGCGAGGACGACGGUCCGAGCAGGGACGAAAGUCGGAGAUAGUGAUCCGGUGCCGGCGCACGGGCGCGGCAUCGCUCAACGGAUAAAAGGUACCCCGGGGAUAACAGGCUGAUCAUUCCCAAGAGUCCAUAUCGACGGGAUGGUUUGGCACCUCGAUGUCGGCUCGUCGCAUCCUGGGGCUGGAGCAGGUCCCAAGGGUUCGGCUGUUCGCCGAUUAAAGCGGCACGCGAGCUGGGUUCAGAACGUCGUGAGACAGUUUGGUCUCUAUCCUCUGCGCUCGUUGGAAUCCUGAGGAGGCCUGCCCAUAGUACGAGAGGACCUGGGUGGACGAACCUCUGGUAUGCCGGUUGUC
This 2110-nucleotide ribosomal RNA is filed under the name wastewater metagenome. RNAcentral describes it as "bacterial LSU rRNA". It matches the Rfam family "Bacterial large subunit ribosomal RNA", at positions 740 to 2725 of the family's 2925-position model. The record is from RNAcentral.